Felis catus (domestic cat) is the source of this 1466-nucleotide long non-coding RNA. RefSeq lists it as uncharacterized. The transcript is spliced from 2 exons. NCBI's taxonomy places the organism in Eukaryota, Metazoa, Chordata, Mammalia, Carnivora, Felidae. The record is from RefSeq and is a predicted model, not a curated record.
AGCCUUGGUGGUCUCACCAACUUUUGUGAUUGUCCAAACCGCCUAUUAUAUUUUUUAAUAGCUCCCGGCAGCGGAAAGCGAGCCAAGACCUGUUCGUGUCCCAAAGGGGAGGAUCUCACAGCACCUAGAUUCGGGCUGAUUGGAAGCCAGACCCUCAGACAGCAGCUUUUAAAGUGUGCAAAGCUAAUCAGUCCUGUGGGACCACCAGCAUCAGCCCUCAUGGCUACCAGGGCCAGGUGAUCUGGAGGCAUCCUCUGAGUGGCGGUUGGAAAAGAAGAGCUCCAGAUGAGUGUACAAGCUCUCUUCUGGGAGAUACGAAGGACAAAUGUAGGUGCGCAUUCCACGUUCGUUGAGAGCAGCUCCAUCCGCCACUAGAUGCGUGCCAAACCUGAAGCCUUCCCCUCAGGCCCAAGGUCCAGGACGAGUCAACCGACCUCUUCUACUGAGAGAGGGGUGCGUUUCAAUCUCUGGCACCGCCCUGACCGUGGUAUCUUGCCAGACCUGUGACUGUUAUAACCCCGUGGGACCCAGGCCUCUCCCGGGCCAUGAAACCCCUGUGAGCAAGGAAGGCCCCCUGGGCAGAGGCCGCAAAAAUCAGGGCACCAAAAGCAUGUGAAAGUUUCCUUCUGGAAGAUGGGGGGGAGGGGGUGGCUUGAGAGCACGGCAGAAGGGGGAGUGAGAAGAUGGUAUCCUUUGGCUGUGGUGAGAUGAGGGGGAGCGCCAAGACGGUGCCUCCCCCCCCAAAAAAAAAGAGAAGAAAAAGAAAGCCUAAUGUUAGGGAGCCUGGUCUGGAUCACCCCGGGGAAGAACCAGGAGGCACUCCGAGAUCUUGGAAGGCAGGCGGUUUAUUUUAGGCCGGCUCAGAGGAGAUCACGCUCCGGAGACGGAAGAAGUGGAUACCAGCUCAGCUCUGUAGCUGGGUAGAACUGUUGGCUGGGAUCCUUACUAGAGCAUCACUGCAAGGAGGAUUGUGGUCUGCCAAGAUCUGAGUGCGAUUGUUGUAAGCUCCACCUGCUUUUCUGUUUCAAUUUGAUCUUCAAUGGUCAAGCUUCACAGACUGCCCGACUGAGCCUCCUGAGAAGUCUCCUGCAAUGCUAGGGGGAGUUGGAUGUCCACCUUGGGCUCUCUUUAUCCUACUGGAAUAAGUGUAAGCCUGGGCAAACUGUCUCAGUGCAGCACUGUGCUGGUCUGGAGGAGGGAUGAUGUGGUCAGAGUGUAGCUGUUCCUCUUACUCUUUUAAUAUGGUCCUUCUUGCUAUAUAUGGUCCAAGGGGUGAUUCAGACUCACCUCUGUGUUCUGGGUUUUUCACCAUGGUGUCUUAUCUAUGGAUAGUUGCUGGCUGGUCUUCUUGUAUAAGGCUAAAGUUUGGUAACAGCCUAUGUUUCGAUCUUGAUGAUGUCAUCCCCCCAUAAAAAUAUUAGUGAAAACCAGUAAAAUGAAAAGCUAUAAGCAAUAGAUAAAAUGAA